RNAcentral lists this long non-coding RNA (660 nucleotides) under Ananas comosus (pineapple). Its description in RNAcentral is "long non-coding RNA (ACOM_LNC018623)". The record is from RNAcentral. Lineage: Eukaryota; Viridiplantae; Streptophyta; Magnoliopsida; Poales; Bromeliaceae.
UGUGGACGUGAAGAACAAAAAAUUUAAGGCUUGUUUGGUUCAUUCAUUUUGAAUAUGGAAUGGGAAUCGGUUUGAUCAAAUCCGAUUAAUUUUGUUUGGUUCGCAUGAAUUGGUUUGAUAUUUCUAUUCCGGACUGGAAUGUGAAUGGCCCAUUAGCCUUCAACUUGAUUCCGAUCUUCUAGGCCGGAUUGAGAUUUCAUUCCGGAAGCCCACUAAGUUCUUGAAGCCCAUGUGACCAUCUCACCCUCCUUCUCUUCACCCCUUUCUCAUCAAAAAAAAAAAAACCCUAUCCUCUCUCAAAACUCUAUCCCUAACCUACAUCAAUAAAACUUUUUAAAAAUAAAUUUGAUAUUUUUUUGAAAAACUUAUUAGAGAAUAGUAUUAUAUUUUUCAUAAAUUUUAAAUAAUAUAAAUUUAUAUUUGAGAGUAAAAUUAGUAUUAUAAUAUUCUAUAAUUUUUUUAAUUUAUACGAACCAAACAAUGAAAUGUGAAUAACUCAUUCCAAUUUUCAAUCCACAAAUAAACCAAACGUCUUGAGGAAGUGGGCCAUUCCAAUUACCAUUCCAAUUUAUUUCCAUUCCAUUAUCUAUUCUAAUUUCACCCUUGAAACAAACAAGCCCUUAUAGUUAUUCGGUUCUCUGGCCUUUUUUUUUUUUUUUU